Molecule: ribosomal RNA, 407 nt
Filed under: uncultured bacterium
Lineage: Bacteria
Description: partial 16S ribosomal RNA
Rfam family: Bacterial small subunit ribosomal RNA
Source: RNAcentral
AUUGAACGCUGGCGGCAUGCCUAACACAUGCAAGUCGAGCGGAGCUUCGGACGGAUGAGUAAUGACUAGGAAACUGCCUGGUAGAGAGGGAUAACGUCCGGAAACGGACGCUAAUACCGAAUACUAUCAGAUCAGCCUAGUGAUGAUUAGCUAGUUGGUGGGGUAAAGGCCUAACAAGGCGACGAUCCGUACCUGGUCUGAGCGGAUGAUCAGUAAAACUGGAACUGAGACACGGUCCAGACUCCUACGGGAGGAAGCAGUGGGGAAUAUUGGACAAUGGGCGAAAGCCUGAUCCAGCCAUGCCGCGUGUGUGAAGAAGGUCGUCGGAUUGUAAAGCACUUUAAGUUGGGAGGCGUUACCAACAGAAUAAGCACCGGCUAACUUCGUGCCAGCAGCCGCGGUAAUAC